This 735-nucleotide ribosomal RNA is filed under the name uncultured Fusobacterium sp. RNAcentral describes it as "bacterial SSU rRNA". It matches the Rfam family "Bacterial small subunit ribosomal RNA", at positions 28 to 776 of the family's 1533-position model. Lineage: Bacteria; Fusobacteriati; Fusobacteriota; Fusobacteriia; Fusobacteriales; Fusobacteriaceae. The record is from RNAcentral.
GAUGAACGCUGACAGAAUGCUUAACACAUGCAAGUCAACUUGAAUUUGGGUUUUUAACUUAGAUUUGGGUGGCGGACGGGUGAGUAACGCGUAAAGAACUUGCCUCACAGCUAGGGACAACAUUUAGAAAUGAAUGCUAAUACCUGAUAUUAUGAUUUUAAGGCAUCUUAGAAUUAUGAAAGCUAUAAGCACUGUGAGAGAGCUUUGCGUCCCAUUAGCUAGUUGGAGAGGUAACAGCUCACCAAGGCGAUGAUGGGUAGCCGGCCUGAGAGGGUGAACGGCCACAAGGGGACUGAGACACGGCCCUUACUCCUACGGGAGGCAGCAGUGGGGAAUAUUGGACAAUGGACCGAGAGUCUGAUCCAGCAAUUCUGUGUGCACGAUGAAGUUUUUCGGAAUGUAAAGUGCUUUCAGUUGGGAAGAAAGAAAUGACGGUACCAACAGAAGAAGUGACGGCUAAAUACGUGCCAGCAGCCGCGGUAAUACGUAUGUCACGAGCGUUAUCCGGAUUUAUUGGGCGUAAAGCGCGUCUAGGUGGUUAUGUAAGUCUGAUGUGAAAAUGCAGGGCUCAACUUUGUAUUGCGUUGGAAACUGUAUAACUAGAGUACUGGAGAGGUAAGCGGAACUACAAGUGUAGAGGUGAAAUUCGUAGAUAUUUGUAGGAAUGCCGAUGGGGAAGCCAGCUUACUGGACAGAUACUGGCGCUAAAGCGCGAAAGCGUGGGUAGCAAACAGG